RNAcentral lists this ribosomal RNA (433 nucleotides) under uncultured bacterium. Its description in RNAcentral is "partial 16S ribosomal RNA". It matches the Rfam family "Bacterial small subunit ribosomal RNA", at positions 29 to 507 of the family's 1533-position model. The record is from RNAcentral.
AGCGAACGCUGGCGGCAGGCUUAACACAUGCAAGUCGAGCGGGCACUUCGGUGUCAGCGGCAGACGGGUGAGUAACACGUGGGAACGUACCCUUCGGUUCGGAAUAACGCUGGGAAACUAGCGCUAAUACCGGAUACGCCCUUUUGGGGAAAGGUUUACUGCCGAAGGAUCGGCCCGCGGCUGAUUAGCUCGUUGGUGGGGUAAUGGCCUACCAAGGCGACGAUCAGUAGCUGGUCUGAGUGGAUGAUCAGCCACACUGGGACUGAGACACGGCCCAGACUCCUGCGGGAGGCAGCAGUGGGGAAUAUUGGACAAUGGGCGCAAGCCUGAUCCAGCCAGGCCGCGUGGGUGAUGAAGGCCUUAGGGUUGUAAAGCUCUUUUGUCCGGGACGAUAAUGACGGUACCGGAAGAAUAAGCCCCGGCUAACUUCGUG